Molecule: ribosomal RNA, 465 nt
Filed under: Vreelandella stevensii
Lineage: Bacteria; Pseudomonadati; Pseudomonadota; Gammaproteobacteria; Oceanospirillales; Halomonadaceae
Description: partial 16S ribosomal RNA
Rfam family: Bacterial small subunit ribosomal RNA
Source: RNAcentral
CCUACGGGAGGCUGCAGUGGGGAAUAUUGGACAAUGGGCGAAAGCCUGAUCCAGCCAUGCCGCGUGUGUGAAGAAGGCCUUCGGGUUGUAAGGCACUUUCAGUGGGGAAGAAAGCCUUGGGGCUAAUACCCUCGAGGAAGGACAUCACCCACAGAAGAAGCACCGGCUAACUCCGUGCCAGCAGCCGCGGUAAUACGGAGGGUGCGAGCGUUAAUCGGAAUUACUGGGCGUAAAGCGCGCGUAGGCGGUCUGAUAAGCCGGUUGUGAAAGCCCCGGGCUCAACCUGGGAACGGCAUCCGGAACUGUCAGGCUAGAGUGCAGGAGAGGAAGGUAGAAUUCCCGGUGUAGCGGUGAAAUGCGUAGAGAUCGGGAGGAAUACCAGUGGCGAAGGCGGCCUUCUGGACUGACACUGACGCUGAGGUGCGAAAGCGUGGGUAGCAAACAGGAUUAGAUACCCGAGUAGUC